RNAcentral lists this ribosomal RNA (497 nucleotides) under uncultured bacterium. Its description in RNAcentral is "partial 16S ribosomal RNA". It matches the Rfam family "Bacterial small subunit ribosomal RNA", at positions 28 to 507 of the family's 1533-position model. The record is from RNAcentral.
GAUGAACGCUGGCGGCGUGCCUAAUACAUGCAAGUCGAGCGAACAGACGAGGGGCUUGCUCCUCUGACGUUAGCGGCGGACGGGUGAGUAACACGUGGAUAACCUACCUAUAAGACUGGGAUAACUUCGGGAAACCGGAGCUAAUACCGGAUAAUAUAUUGAACCGCAUGGUUCAAUAGUGAAAGACGGUUUUGCUGUCACUUAUAGAUGGAUCCGCUCCGCAUUAGCUAGUUGGUAAGGUAACGGCUUACCAAGGCAACGAUGCGUAGCCGACCUGGGAGGGUGAUCGGCCACACUGGAACUGAGACACGGUCCAGACUCCUACGGGAGGCAGCAGUAGGGAAUCUUCCGCAAUGGGCGAAAGCCUGACGGAGCAACGCCGCGUGAGUGAUGAAGGUCUUCGGAUCGUAAAACUCUGUUAUUAGGGAAGAACAAAUGUGUAAGUAACUAUGCACGUCUUGACGGUACCUAAUCAGAAAGCCACGGCUAACUACGUG